UACGGAGGAUGCGAGCGUUAUCCGGAUUUACUGGGUGUAAAGGGAGCGUAGACGGCCAGACAAGUCUGAAGUGAAAAUCCAGCGCUUAACGUUGGAAGUGCUUUGGAAACUGCCGGGCUGGAGUGCAGGAGGGGCAGGCGGAAUUCCUGGUGUAGCGGUGAAAUGCGUAGAUAUAUGGAAGAACACCAGUGGCGAAGGCGGCUCUCUGGUCUGCAACUGACGCUGAGGCUCGAAAGCAUGGGUAGCGAACAGG
RNAcentral lists this ribosomal RNA (253 nucleotides) under uncultured Lachnospiraceae bacterium. RNAcentral's name for it is "partial 16S ribosomal RNA". It matches the Rfam family "Bacterial small subunit ribosomal RNA", at positions 524 to 776 of the family's 1533-position model. Lineage: Bacteria; Bacillati; Bacillota; Clostridia; Lachnospirales; Lachnospiraceae. The record is from RNAcentral.